AACAACAACAACAGUAAUUAUACCACUUGUUCAGUCUGAAAAUUUAUUUGUACCAGUGCAUUUGGAAGCAUCAGAAUAACUUGAGGUAAUAUAUUCAUACAAAAGCUUUGCUCCCGAUUCAUUGCAAUCCUAUCGGCUGAAUUUGAUCCGAGUCCUGGGAUAACUCAGUUGGUAGAGCAUGAGACUCUGGGGGUUGUGGGUUCAAGCCCCACCUUAUCAAAAAGAUUCCUGCAUUGCAGGGGGUUCGGCUACAAGACCCCCUUGGUCCCUUCCAACUCUUUCAUUCUGUGGUCUAUGAACCUCACUUAUUCACAAUGAGGGCACCACCACAAAUUUUUAUUAAGCAAUUUCUUGCAUAAUAGGAGUUUGCCUUUGUAAAAUUGGAGAACGAAAGGAGACGGAAUCUCAGGGUGGGCUUUUUUUGUGGGGGACAUUUUCUGGUCAGUGGGCAGGAGGAGCUUGGGUCUGUGGGAUAUGAAAUUCAUAGCAGUCAGGUACAACAUUCCUAGAGUGGACAUGCUAGGGGAUGCUUUGUGCCACCCAGGAGAAAACUUCCUUUCCUCCUGAGCUGGGACAAGCGCUUCCUCUACAUGUGACUUGAAAUAGGUGUGGCCUAUUCUGGGUGGAGGAGCACAAUGCUCUGUGUGCUACAUUCUUUCUUCUCCAUUUUGUGUUUUUCUAUGUGUUAGGAGAAGUGACUGCUCCGUCGCAGUCACUUGGGACUAACUCCCUUAGAUUAUAGUUUAUGUAUAGAUAUAGAUAUACUUUUGUAACUUAAGCCUGCCUUCAGGAAUCUAAUUGUGAACUGAAUGAAAAUGAAUAAACUACUUUUAUAUUGAUUUUA
Molecule: long non-coding RNA, 844 nt
Organism: Podarcis raffonei (Aeolian wall lizard)
Lineage: Eukaryota; Metazoa; Chordata; Lepidosauria; Squamata; Lacertidae
Exons: 2
Source: RefSeq, a predicted model, not a curated record